GAUGAACGCUGGCGGCGUGCUUAACACAUGCAAGUCGAACGGAAAGGCUCCUGCUUGCAGGGGUACUCGAGUGGCGAACGGGUGAGUAACACGUGGGUGAUCUGCCCUGCACUUCGGGAUAAGCCUGGGAAACUGGGUCUAAUACCGGAUAGGACCACAUUUUGGAUGGUGUGGUGGAAAGUUUUUCGGUGUGGGAUGAGCUCGCGGCCUAUCAGCUUGUUGGUGGGGUAAUGGCCUACCAAGGCGUCGACGGGUAGCCGGCCUGAGAGGGUGUACGGCCACAUUGGGACUGAGAUACGGCCCAGACUCCUAUGGGAGGCAGCAGUGGGGAAUAUUGCACAAUGGGCGCAAGCCUGAUGCAGCGACGCCGCGUGGGGGAUGACGGCCUUCGGGUUGUAAACUCCUUUCGCUAGGGACGAAGCGUUUUUGUGACGGUACCUGGAGAAGAAGCACCGGCUAACUACGUG
This 467-nucleotide ribosomal RNA is filed under the name uncultured bacterium. RNAcentral describes it as "partial 16S ribosomal RNA". It matches the Rfam family "Bacterial small subunit ribosomal RNA", at positions 28 to 507 of the family's 1533-position model. The record is from RNAcentral.